Long non-coding RNA from Schistocerca nitens (vagrant locust), 18675 nucleotides. RefSeq lists it as uncharacterized. The record is from RefSeq and is a predicted model, not a curated record. Lineage: Eukaryota; Metazoa; Arthropoda; Insecta; Orthoptera; Acrididae. The transcript has 13 exons.
CUGACAAAAUAGAGUUUGGUGGUGAAUGGUUUGUGAACUAUGUUGCCCCUGUAUGGCUUGCCUACAAGAUUUGAGUUUGGACAGUUAGUGAUACGGUGAUUUAGUAGUGUGUGUGACUUGACGAAAUGAUAAUCCAUAGAGGUGAAUAUGUAUUGUCCCAGAGAGUAAAAUAUCCUUUGAAGUUGGUAGACAGAUGUACGAAUAGAAGACCAAUCAAAUAAUAACUCACUUUGGAUGAGGUAGCAAGGAUGAGAGAAUUUAGAGCGAGUAUAGAAAGGAAAAAAGAGAAAAAAUGGAUGUAUGUUCGAUUGUUAUGAAAGAAAUUUUUUCCCCCUGUAGAUUGAUCCCCUAAAAAUUAGGAUAGUUGAUAAGGUUUUAUAGGUUUAUUCUCAAAAUAUUUGGAAUGUUGGUGAUGUGUAUGAGCUGAAAACACUGAAAAGAGAGUAUUUUGUGAGAAUGGAGUUUAAAAUGUAUGAGGUGGAGAUUCCCAUUGCCCAGUCAAUUCUUGGUCCUUGGAUGUCCCUUGCGUGAGUUGGUAGCAUGUUGAAGAUAAGAAUGUAAAUGAUGGAGUAGGUAUUGGUGCAGUUGACACACUGUGUAUGGAAGAGUAGGAGGAGACCUGAGUUGAGCAGAAAUGUGGAUGAUUUAAUAUAUUUGUUUGCGAGUUAAUCGUAGGUGCCCUGUGAAAAGAGGGAAGUCUGACUGAAAGUAGUAUAUCCAAGAGUAGAGUGAGUGAUGAUGUGUUGAUAAAGGCAAUGCGGGUACAGUGUGUAAAAGAGAGAUUGGAACUGAGAAUGAGUCCCAAGAGUUCUUAGAGGUAAAUGAACAUAGGUGUGGUUGGAGUGUAUAGAUGUAAGAAACAAUGACUAGCAAGUUGGUAAUAUUUGAGACCUGUUGUAGAAUAUGAUCGAGAGAGUUGCAUUGUUGAGAUUUUGGAGUUUUGUAUGAGCCAGGUGAUGAGAGUAAAACCCGUGACUGUUUUUAUUAGGAAGAGAGUAGAAGGUGUUCAAAGACCCUAAUGCAGAUGCUGAGAGAGAAGGAAAGUCUGUUGUUGUAGUGAAAGUUGCAGUAUAUGUAAGGUGUACAGAAAGAGUAAUUGAUGGCGCUUCCCAUUGAGGUAUAGAUGCUGCUUGUUGUUUGGAACGAGAGGCUCCCACUCAAAUCCAACAUUAUAGAAAUUAUGUUAAUUUACGAUGUGUAUCGAAAUGAUGUAGAUACCUGAUGUGAGGUGAAAUUUUAGGAUGGAGGUGUGUGUGUCUGAGGACGUGGCCCAUUCCCAAGCAAUAGAAUUAGUUAUUUCAGUUUGUGUGGUAGAGAAUAAUGAUAGUGAGGAAGUAUUUAUGUGUGACGGGAUAAGAAGUUUUAUUGGUACCCCUAUUAGGCAAAUGAGUUGUACUGAUGUUGAGAACAGGAAAUAUUGAAAAUGUAGAUGAUGAAGGUGAAACUUGAUGUUGGUAAUGGAGAGUGGCUUUCUGGAGUGUGAUUGUGUUAGUAUUAAAAUUUGUAGAAGUUACAAAGAGUCCAAUUGUGGAGAGGUUGUUAGCUAUUGUGAAGUGAAAUACAGUGAAGACUAGUAAAUAAAGAGACUUGAGCGACCCUUGGUUAUUGAUAAGAUUGUAAAGAAGGUUUAUAUUGUGUCUGGUUAUUUUGUUUGUUGUGGCUUAGUGUAAAAGAAUUUACCCUUUGAGAUGUGUUAUGGAGGUAGAAAGGUGUAGGAAGUACAGUCCCUUAAUAUUUAGAAUACGAGAGGAAAUGAUAUAGUGGAGACAUCUAAAGUAUGAGAGAGUGUGUACGAAGUAGUUGGUAUGUGCGUGAUGUGGAGGUUUAUGAAAUUGGAGUAAUGUGACAAUUAGAAAUGAUGAAGGUAAUGAAGUAGUGAUGUUCUGGUUUUCGAAAGAAUGGAGUAACCGAUGGUGUAUGGUUUGAAGUAGAGUUAAAAACCUGAGUGAGGUGAAGUUUAUGUUAAAUUUUGUAAAGGUGGUAUAAUACAAGGUUGAAGAAUGGUGCAGAAAAGAUAAAAGAAGGUUGUGUCAGUGUAGUGGUUAAUGUUUAUAUGAGGAAAUAAAACAGUACCCCAGAGAAAAUGUAAAAAAGUUAGGAAUGAGGUGUGGUAGUGAAGAGGUGUGAUUCAGUGAAGGCUAAUUGCUGACAAAAUAGAGUUUGGUGGUGAAUGGUUUGUGAACUAUGUUGCCCCUGUACGGCCUGCCUACAAGAUUUGGGUUUGGACAGUUAGUGAUACGGUGAUUUAGUAGUGUGUGUGACUUGACGAAAUGAUAAUCCAUAGAGGUGAAUAUGUAUUGUCCCAGAGAGUAAAAUAUCCUUUGAAGUUUGUAGACAGAUCUACGAAUAGAAGACCAAUCAAAUAAUAAUUCACUUUGGAUGAGGUAGCGAGGAUGAGAGAAUUUAGAGCAAUAUAGAAAGGAAAAAAGAGAAAAAAUGGAUGUUUGUUCGAUUGUUAUGAAAGAAAUUUUGUUCCCCAUGUAGAUUGAUCCCAUAAAAAUUAGGAUAGUUGAUAAGGUUUUAUAGGUUUAUUCUCAAAAUAUUUGGAAUGUUGGUGAUGUGUAUGAGCCGAAAACACUUAAAAGAGAGUAUUUUGUGAGAAUGGAGUUUAAAAUGUAUGAGGUGGAGAUUUCCAUUGCCAAGGCAAUUCUUAAUCCUUGGAUGUCCCUUGUAUGAGCUGGUAGCAUGUUGGAGAUAAGAAUGUAAAUGAAGGAGUAUGUAUUGGUGCAGCUGAUACGCUGUUUACGGAAGAGGAGGAGGAGACCUGAGUUGAGCAGAAAUGUGGAUGAUUUAAUAUAAUUGUUUGCGAGUUAAUUGUAGGUGCCCUGUGAAAAGAGGGAAGUCUGACUGAAGGUAGUAUAUCCAAGAGUAGAGUGAGUGAUGAUGUGUUGAUAAAGUCAAUGCGGGUACAGUGUGUAAAAGAGAGAUUGGAACUGAGAAUGAGUCCCAAGAGUUCUUAGAGGUGAAUGAACAUAGGUGUGGUUGGAGUGUAUAGAUGUAAGAAACAAUGACUAGCAAGUUGGUAAUGUUUGAGACCUGUUAUAAAAUAUGAUCGUGAGAGUUGCAUUAUUGAGAUUUUGGAGUUUUGUAUGAGCCAGGUGAUGAGAGUAAAACCCGUGACUGUUUUUAUUAGGAAGAGAGUAGAAGGUGUUCGAAGACCCAAAUGCAGAUGCUGAGAGAGAAGGAAAGUCUGUUGUUGUAGUGAAAGUUGCAGUAUAUGUAAGGUGUACAGAAAGUGUAAUUGAUGGCCCUUCCCAUUGAGGUAUAGAUGCUGAUUGUUGUUUGGAACGAGAGGCUCCCACUCAAAUCCAACAUUAUAGAAAUUAUGUUAAUUUACGAUGUGUAUCGAAAUGAUGUAGAUACCUGAUGUGAGGUGAAAUUUUAGGAUGGAGGUGUGUGUGUGUGAGGACGUGGCCCAUUCCCAAGCAAUAGAAUUAGUUAUUUCAGUUUGUGUGGUAGAGAAUAAUGAUAGUGAGGAAGUAUUUGUGUGUGACAGGAUAAGAAGUUUAUUUGGUACCCCUAUUAGGCAAAUGAGUUGUACUGAUGUUGACAACAGGAAAUAUUGAAAAUGUAGAUGAUGAAGGUGAAACUUGAUGUUGGUAAUGGAGAGUGGCUUUCUGGAGUGUGAUUGUGUUAGUAUUAAAAUUUGUAGAAGUUAUAAAGAGUCCAAUUGUGGAGAGGUUAUUAGCUAUUGUGAAGUGAAAUACAGUGAAGACUAGUAAAUAAAGAGAGACUUGAGCGACCCUUGGAUAUUGAUAAGAUUGUAAAGAAGGUUUAUAUUGUGUCUGGUUAUUUUGUUUGUUGUGGCUUAGUGUAAAUGAAUUUACCCUUUGAGAUGUGUUAUGGAGGUAGAAAGGUGUAGGAAGUACAGUCCCUUAACAUUUAGAAUACGAGAGGAAAUGAUAUAGUGGAGACAUCUAAAGUAUGAGAGAGUGUGUACGAAGUAGUUGGUAUGUGCGUGAUGUGGAGGUUUAUGAAAUUGAAGUAAUGUGACAGUUAGAAAUGAUGAAGGUAAUGAUGUAGUGAUGUUCCGGUUUUCCAAAGAAUGGAGUAAACAAUGGUGUAUGGUUUGAAGUAGAGUUAAAAGUCUGAGUGAGGUGAAGUUGAUGUUAAAUUUUGUAAAGGUGGUAUAAUACAAGGUUGAAGAAUGGUGCAGAAAAGAUAAAAGAAGGUUGUGUCAGUGUAGUGGUUAAUGUUUAUAUGAGGAAAUAAAGCAGUACCCCAGAGAAAAUGUAAAAAAGUUAGGAAUGAGGUGUGGUAGUGAAGAGGUGUGAUGAAGUGAGGGCUAAUUGCUGACAAAAUAGAGUUUGGUGGUGAAUGGUUUGUGAACUAAUGUUGCCCCUGUAUGUCCUGCCUACAAGAUUUGAGUUUGGACAGUUAGUGAUACGGUGAUUUAGUAGUGUGUGUGACUUGACGAAAUGAUAAUCCAUAGAAGUGAAUAUGUAUUGUCCCAGAGAGUAAAAUAUCCUUUGAAAUUGGUAGAUAGAUGUACAAAUAGAAGACCAAUCAAAUAAUAAUUCACUUUGGAUGAAGUAGCUAGGAUGAGAAAAUUUAGAGUGAGUAUAGGAAGGUAAAAAGAGAAAAAAUAGAUGUUGGUUUGAUUGUUAUGAAAGAAAGUUUGAUCCCCCAGGAGAUUGAUCCCCUAAAAAUUAGGAUAGUUGAUAAGGGUUUAUAGGUUUAUUCUCAAAAUAUUUGGAAUGUUGGUGAUGUGUAUGGAAUGUUGGUGAUGUGUAUGAGCUGAAAACACUGAAAAAAGAGUAUUUUGUGAGAAUGGAGCUAAAAAUAUAUGAGGUGGAGAUUCCCAUUGCCCAGGCAAUUCUUAAUCCUUGGAUGUCCCUUGUAUGAGCUGGUAGCAUGUUGGGAGAUAAGAAUGUAAAUGAAGGAGUAGGUAUUGGUGCAGUUGACACGCUGUGUAUGGAAGAGUAGGAGGAGAACUGAGUCGAGCAGAAAUGUGGAUGAUUUAAUAUAAUUGUUUGCGAGUUAAUCGUAGGUGCCCUGUGAAGAGAGGGAAGUCUGACUGAAGGUAGUAUAUCCAAGAGUAGAGUGAGUGAUGAUGUGUUGAUAAAGGCAAUGCGGCUACAGUGUGUAAAAGAGAGAUUGGAACUGAGAAUGAGUCCCAAGAGUUCUUAGAGGUGAAUGAACAUAGGUGUGGUUGCAGUGUAUAGAUGUAAGAAACAAUGACUAGCAAGUUGGUAAUGUUUGAGACCUGUUAUAAAAUAUGAUCGUGAGAGUUGCAUUAUUAAGUUUUUGAAUUUUUGUAUGAGCCAGGUGGUGAGAGUAAGACCGUGACUGUUAAAAUUAGGAAGAGAGUAGAAGGUGUUCGAAGACCCUAGUGCAGAUGCUGGGAGAGAAGGAAAAUCUGUUGUUGUAGUGGAAGUUGCAGUAUAUGUAAGGUGUACAGAAAGUGUAAUUAAUGGCCCUUCCCAUUGAGGUAUAAAUGCUGAUUGUUGUUUGGAACGAGAGGCUCCCACUCAAAUCCAACAUUAUAGAAAUUAUGUUAAUUUACGAUGUGUGUCGAAAUGAUGUAGAUACCUGAUGUGAGGUGAAAUUUUAGGAUGGAGGUGUGUGUGUGUGUGUGAGGACGUGGCCCAUUCCCAAGCAAUAGAUUUAGUUAUUUCAGUUUGUGUGGUAGAGAAUAAUGAUAGUGAGGAAAUAUUUAUGUGUGACGGGAUAAGAAAUUUUAUUGGUACCCCUAUUAGGCAAAUGAGUUGUACUGAUGUUGAGAACAGGAAAUAUUGAAAAUGUAGAUGAUGAAGGUGAAACUUGAUGUUGGCAAUGGAGAGUGGCUUUCUGGAGUGUGAUUGUGUUAGUAUUAAAAUUUGUAGAAGUUAUAAAGAGUCCAAUUGUGGAGAGGUUAUUAGCUAUUGUGAAGUGAAAUACAGUGAAGACUAGUAAAUAAAGAUAGACUUGAGUGACCCUUGGUUAUUGAUAAGAUUGUAAAGAAGGUUUAUAUUGUGUCUGGUUAUUUUGUUUGUUGUGGCUUAGUGUAAAAGAAUUUACCAUUUGAGAUGUGUUAUGGAGGUAGAAAGGUGUAGGAAGUACAGUCCCUUAAUAUUUAGAAUACGAGAGUAAAUGAUAUAGUGGAGACAUCUAAAGAUUGAGAGAGUGUGUACGAAGUAGUUGGUAUGUGCGUGAUGUGGAGGUUUAUGACAUUGGAGUAAUGUGACAAUUAGAAAUGAUGAAGGUAAUGAAGUAGUGAUGUUCUUGUUUUCAAAAGGAUGGAGUAACCGAUGGUGUCUGGUUUGAAGUAGCGUUAAAAACCUGAGUGAGGUGAAGUUGAUGUUAAAUUUUGUAAAGGUGGUAUAAUACAAGUUUGAAGAAUGGUGCAGAGAAGAUAAAAGAAGGUUGUGUCAGUGUAGUGGUUAAUGUUUAUAUGAGGAAACAAAACAGUACCCCAUAGGAAAUGUAAAAAAGUUAGGAAUGAGGUGUGGUAGUGAAGAGGUGUGAUGAAGUGAAAGCUAAUUGCUGACAAAAUAGAGUUUGGUGGAGAAUUGUUUGUGAACUAAUGUUGCCCCUGUACGUCCUGCCUACAAGAUUUGAGUUUGGACAGUUAGUGAUACGGUGAUUUAGUAGUGCGUGGGAAUUGACGAAAUGAUAAUCCAUAGAGGUGAAUAUGUAUUGUCCCAGAGAGUAAAAUAUCCUUUGAAAUUGGUAGACAGAUGUACGAAUAGAAGACCAAUCAAAUAAUAAUUCACUUUGGAUGAGGUAGAGAGGAUUAGAGAAUUUAGAGCGAGUAUAGAAAGGUAAAAAGAAAAAAAAUAAAUAUUGGUUUGAUUGUUAUGAAGGAAACUUUGAUCCCCCUGUAGAUUGAUCCCCUAAAAUUUAGGAUAGUUGAUAAGGGUUUAUAGGUUUCUUCUCAAAAUAUUUUGAAUGUAGGUGAUGUGUAUGAGCUGAAAACACUGAAAAGAGAGUAUUUUGUGAGCAUGGAGUUUAAAGUGUAUGAGGUGGAGAAUCCCAUUGCCCAGGCAAUUCUUAAUCCUGGGAUGUCCCUUGCGUGAGCUGGUAGCAUGUUGGAGAUAUGAAUGUAAAUGAAGGAGUAGGUAUUGUUGCAGUUGACAAGCUGUGUAUGGCAGAGUAGGAGGAGACCUGACUUGAGCAGAAAUGUGGAUGAUUUAUAAUUAUUGUUUGCAAGUUAAUCGUAGGUGCCCUGUGAAAAGAGGAAAGUCUGACUGAAGGUAGUAUAUCUAAGAGUAGAUUGAGUGAUGAUGUCUUGAUAAAGGCAAUGUGGGUACAGUGUUUAAAAGAGACAUUGGAAGAAGGCAUAGGUUUAAGUAAAGUGGGAAUGAGUCCCAAGAGUUCUUAGAGGUGAAUGAACAUAGGUGUGGUUGGAGUGUAUAGAUGUAAGAAAGAAUGACUAGCAAGUUGGUAAUGUUUGAGACCUGUAAUAAAAUAUGAUCGUGAGAGUUGCAUUAUUGAGUUUUUGGAGUUUUGUAUCAGCCAGGUGAUGAGAGUAAGACCCGUGACUGUUUAUAUUAGGAAGAGAGUAGAAGGUGUUCGAAGACCCUAAUGCAGAUGCUGAGAGAGAAGGAAAGUCGGUUGUUGUAGUGAAAGUUGCAGUAUAUGUAAGGUGUUUGGAACGAGAGGCUCCCACUCAAAUCCAACAUUAUAGAAAUUAUGUUAAUUUACAAUGUGUGUCGAAAUGAUGUAGAUACCUGAUGUGAGGUGAAAUUUUAGGAUGGAGGUGUGUCUGUGUGUGUGAGGACGUGGCCCUUUCCCAAGCCAUAGAAUUAGUUAUUUCAGUUUGUGUGGUAGAGAAUAAUGAUAGUGAGGAAGUAUUUAUGUGUGACGGGAUAAGAAGUUUUAUUGGUACCCCUAUUUGGCAAAUGAGUUGUACUGAUUUUGAGAACAGGAAAUAUUGAAAAUGUAGAUGAUGAAGGUGAAACUUGAUGUUGGUAAUGGAGAGUGGCUUUCUGGAAUGUGAUUGUGUUAGUAUUAAAAUUUGUAGAAGUUAUAAAGAGUCCAAUUGUGGAGAGGUUAUUAGCUAUUGUGAAGUGAAAUACAGUGAAGACUAGUAAAUAAAGAGAGACUUGUGCGGCCCUUGGUUAUUGAUAAGAUUGUAAAGAAGGUUCAUAUUGUGUCUGGUUAUUUUGUUUGUUGUGGCUUAGUGUAAAAGAAUUUACCCUUUGAGAUGUGUUAUGGAGGUAGAAAGGUGUAGGAAGUACAGUCCCUUAAUAUUUAGAAUACGAGAGGAAAUGAUGUAGUGGAGACUUGUAAUGUGUGAGAGUGUGUGUACGAAGUAGUUGGUAUGUGCGUGAUGUGGAGGUUUAUGAAAGUGGAGUAAUGUCGUAAUUAGAAAUAAUCAAGGUAAUGAAGUAGUGAUAUUCUGGUUUUCGAAUGAAUGUACUAACCAGUGAUGUAUGGCUUCAAGUAGAGAUAAAAACCUGAGUGAAGUGAAGUUGGUGUUAAACUUGAUACACAUUUUAUGACAUGAGGUUGAAGAAUGCUGCAGAGAAGAUAAAAAGGGUUGUGUUAGUGUGGAGGUUAAUGUUUGGAUGAGGAAAUAAAACAGUACCUCAGAAAAUAUGUAGAAAAUUUAAGAAUUAGUGGUAGUGAGCAAGUGUGAUGAAGUGAAGGAGAAUUGCUGACAAAUAGAGUUUGGUGGUGAAUGUUUCGUGAACUAAUGUUGGCCCUAUAUGUCCUGUUUCGUAAGUGAUAUGGUGAUUUAGUAGUGUGCCUGACUUGAUGAAAGGAUUGGGUGUAGAGGUGAAUAUGUAUUGUCCCAGAGAAUAAAAUAUCCUUUGAAAUAGAAUAAUUAUUGACUUUGGACUAGGUAGCAAGGAUGAAAUAAUUUAGAGCAAGCAUGAUAAGGAAAAAAAGAGAUAAAUUGGAUGUUGGUUUGAUAGCUAUGAAAAUAUUAUUCAUUUCCCAUGUAGAUAGAUCCCUAACAAUUAGGCAGGUUGAGAAAGGUUUAUUGGUUUAUUGUCAAAAUGUUUGAAUGUAGCUGAUGUGUAUGAGUUGAAAACACCAAAAGGAGAGUAUUUUCCGAGACUUGAAGUUUAAAGUGUAUGAUGUGGAGAUACCCAUUGCCCAUGCAAAUCUUUAUCGUUAGAUGUCCCUUGUGUGAUCUGGUAUCAUGUUGGAGUUUAGAAUGUAAAUGAAGGAGUAGGUAUAGUUGCAACUGAAAUGCAAUGUAUGGUAAAAUAGGAGGAGACCUGAUUUGAGCAGAAAGGGUACUAUAAUAAAUGUUUGCGAGUAAAUCGUUGGUGCCCUGUGAAAAUAGCUGAGUCAGACUGAAGAUAAUGUAUCCAAGACUAGAGGAAGUGAUGAUCUGUUGAUAAGGCAAUGUGAGUAAAAUGUUUGAAAGAGAGAGUGGUUAGUAGUCAUACGUUGAAGUGUAGUUAGAUUGAGUCCCAGGAGUAUUUAGAGAUGAAUGAACAUAGGUGUGGUAGGAGUGUAUACAUGUAAGAAACAAUGUCUAGCAACUUGUAAUGUUUGAGACCUGUAAUAAAAUUUGAUUGUGAGUGUUACAUUAUUGAGUUUCAGGAAUCUUGUAUGAGUCAGGUGAUGAGAGUAAGAUUUGUGUCUGUUCAAAUUAGGAAGAGAGUAGAAGGUGUUCGGGGACCCUAUUGCAGAUGCAGAGAGAAAAGGAAAGUGUGUUGUUGUAGUGAAAGUUGCAGUGAAUGUAAUUGAUGGCCCUUUCCAUUGAGGUAUUGAUGCUGAUUCUUGUUUGAAAUGAGACGCCCCCACUAAUACCAAACAUUAUAGAAAUUAAGUUAAUUUAAGCUGUGUUAGUUUUAAAAUUUGUAGAAGUUAUAAAGAGUCCAAUUGUGGAGCAAUUAUUAGCUAUUUUGAAGUGAAGUGAAAGCUAGUAAAUAAAGAGACAUUGAGUGACCCUUGGUUAUUGAAAAGACUGUAAGAAUGGUUUAUAUUGUGUGUGGUUAAUUUGUUCGUUGUGGCUUAGUGUAAAACAAUUUGCCCUUUUGUGAUAUGUAAUGGAGGUAGAAAGGUGUAGGAAGUACAGUCCCUUAAUAUUUAAAGUACAAGAACAAAUGAUAGAGUGGAGACAUGUAAUAUGUGUAUGAGAGUGUGGACGAAACAGUUGGUAUUUGCAUGAUGCGGAGGUUUAAGAAAUUGGCAGCUGAUGAGAGUAAGACUUGUGACUGUUCAAAUUAGGAAAGGAGUAGAAGGUGUUUGGAGUCAAUAUUGCAGAUGCAGAGAGAAAAGAAAAUACUGACGUGUAGUGAGAGUUGGUGAAUAUGUAAUUGAUGGCCCUUUCCAUUGCGGUAUUGUUGCUGAUUUUUGUUUGGAAUGAGAUGCCCCCACCUAAUUCAAACAUUAUAGAAAUUAUAUGUAAAAACAAAGAUGAUGUAACUUACCAAACGAAAGUGUUGGUAUGUUGACAGAGACACAAACAAACACAAACAUUAACACAAAAUUACGUUAACUUAUGCUGCGUGUCCAAAUGAUGUAGAUACCUGACGUGAGGUGAAAUUUAGGAUGGAGGUGUGUGUGUGUGUGUGUGUGUGUGUGUGUGUGUGUGUGUGUGUGAGGACAUGGCCUUUUCCCCAAGACAUAGAGUUAAAUUUUCAAUUAUUCACUGUGGAUGAGGUAGCGAGGAUGAGAUUAUUUAGAAAGAGUAUAGAAAGGAAAAAAGAGAAAUAUUAGUUGUUAGUUUGAUUGUUAUUUAAAUAUUAUUAGUUCCUUAUGUAGAUAGAUCCCUUAAGACAAGAAAGGUUGAUAAGGGUUUAUAUGAUUAUCCUCAAAAUGUUUGAAAUGUAGCUGAUGUGUAUGAGUUGAAAACAUUGAAAACAGAGUAUUUUCUGAGAGUGGAGAUGAAAAUGUAUGAGGUGGAGAUUCCAAAUGCCCAUGCAAUUGUUUAUCCUUAGAUAUCCCAUGUGUGAGCUGAUAUUAUGAUGGAGAUUAGAAUGUAAAUGUAGGAGUAGGUAUUGUAGCAACUGACAUUCUAUGUAUUGUAAGGUAGGAGGAGACCUGAUUUGAGAAGAAAUGAUACUAUAAUAAUUGUUUGUGAGUUAAUAGUUGAUGCCUGUGAAAAGUGCGAAGUCAGACGUAAGGUAAUAUAUCCAAGACUAGAGAAAGUGAUGAUGUGUUGAUAAGGCAAUGUGAGUACAAUGUUUAAAAGGGAGAGUGGUUAGUAGUCAUACGUUUAAGUGUAGUGAGAAUGAGUCCCAAGAUUAUUUAGAGAUGAAUGAACAUAGGUGUGGCAGGAGUGAAUACUUGUAAGAAAUAAUGUCUAGCAACUUGUAAUGUUUGAGUCCUGUAAUAAAAUUUGAUCAUGAGAGUUACAUUAUUGAGUUUCAGGAAUCUUUUAUGAGUCAGGUGAUAAGAGUAAGACCUGUGACUGUUCAAAUUAGGAAGAGAGUAGAGGGUGUUCGGAGACCCUAUUGCAGAUGCAGAGAGAAAAGGAAAGUGUGUUGUUGUAGUGAAAGUUGCAGUAUAUGUAAUUGACGGCCCUUGUCAUUGCCGUAUUGAUGCUGAUUGUUGAUUGAAAUGAGACGCCCCCACCUUAAAUCAAACAUUAUAGAAAUUAUGUUAAUUUAAGAUGAGUGUCCACAUGAUGUACAUACUUGAUGUGAGGUGAAAUUUGGGAUAGAGGUAUGUGUCUGCAGAUGUGGUCCUUUUCAGUGCCUGGUGAAUGUAAUGAAGUGGUGAUGUUCUGGUUUUCGAAAGAAUGGAGAAACCGAUGGUGUAUGGUUUAAAGCCUGAAUGAGGUGAAAUUGAUGUUAAAUUUGGUAAAGGUGUAUGAUAAGUGGCUGAAGAAUGGUGCAGAGAAGAUAAAAGAAGUUGUGAUAGCAUGGAGGAUAAUGAUUAUAUGAGGAAAUAAUACAGUACCCCAGAGAAAAUGUAGUAAAAUAAAGAGUGAUGUAUGGUAGUGAACCGGUGUGUUAAAAGUUCCCCAGAGUAUAUGUAGAAAAAUAAAGAAUCAGGUGUGAUAGUGAACAUCUGUGAUGAAAUGAACGACAAUUGCUGGCAAAUAGAGUUUCUUGGUCAUUUAUUUGUGAACUAAUGUAGCCCCUGUAUGUCCUGCUUACAAGAUUUGAGUUUGGACAGUUAAUGAUAUGGUGAUUUAGUAGUGUGUGUGACUUGAUGAAAUGAUUGGACAUAGAUGUGAAUAUAUAUUGUCCCAGAGAGUAAUAUAUCCUUUGAAAUAGAAUAGUUAUUAACUUUGGAUGAGGUCGUGAGGAUGAGAUAAUUUAGAAUGAGUAUGGAAAAGACAAGAGAGAGAAAUAGGAUGUUGGUUUGAUUGUUAUGAAAAUAUUAUUUGAUCUGCAUGCAGAUAGAUCCCCUAAGAAUUAGGAUGGUAGAUAAAGGAUUAUAGGUGAAAUCAAUUGACUCGCAAACUAUUAUUACAGAGUACAAUGUUCAAGAGAGAGAUUGGUUAGUGGGCGUAGGUUAAUGCAAAGUGAGAAUGAGUCCCAAGAGUAUUUUGAGGUGAAUUAACAAAUGUGUGACUGGAGUAUAUACAUGUAAGAAGCAAUGUCUGGCAACUUGUAAUGUUUGAGACCUGUAAUAAAAUUUAAGAUGUGUGUCCAGACGAUGUAGAUACCUGAUGUGAGGUGAAAUUUUGGAUAGAGGUGUGUGUGUGAGAACUUGGCCCCUUCCCUUGCCAUGGACUUAAUUAUUUCCUUAUGUGUAGUGGAGAAUAAUGAUAGUGAGGAAGUAUUUAUGAGUGAUGGGAUAAGAAGUUUUAUUGCUACUCCUCUUAGGCAAAUGAGUUGCACUGAUGUUGAGAACAGGCAAGGUUGAAAAUGUGGAUGAUGAAGGUGAAACUCGAUGAUUGUAGUAGUGCCUUUCUGGAAUGGCAUUAUGUUACUAUUGAAAUUGGUAGAAAUUUUAUAGAGUCCAAUUGUGGAGCGAUUAUUUGCUAUCGUGAAGAGAAAUGAAGACUAGUAAAUAAAGAGAUAUUGAGUGACCUUUGGUUAUUGAAAAGUUUGUAAGAAUGGUUUAUAUUGUGUGUGGUUAUUUUGUUAGUUGUGGCUUAGUGUAAAACAAUUUGCCCAUUUAAGAUAUGUAAUGGAGGUAGAAAGGUGUAGGAAGUACAGUCCCUUAAAAUUUAGAGUACACGAGGGAAUGAUAGAGUGGAGUCAUGUAAUACGUGUAUGAGAGUGUGGACGAAAUAGUUUGUAUUUGCAUGAUGUGGAGGUUUAAAAAGUUGGAGUAAUGUGGUAAUUAGAAAUGAUGAAGGUAAUGAAGUGGUUUUCGAAAGACAGGAGAAACCGACGGUGUAUGGUUUAAGACCUGAGUGUGGUGAAAUUGAUGUUAAAUUUGGUAAAGGUGUUAUGAUGUAAGGCUGAAGAAUGGUGCAGAGAAGAUAAAAGAGGUUGUGUUAGCGUGGAGGUUAAUGUUUGGAUGAGGAAAUAAAAUAGUACCCCAGAGAAACAGUAGUAAAAUAAAGAAUGAGGUGUGGUAGUGAACAGGUGUGAUGUAAUGUAGGAGAAUUGCCAAGAAAUAGAGUUUGUUGGUCAAUGUUUUGUGAACUAAUGCUACCCCUGUAUGUCCUGCUUACACAAUUUGAGAUUGGACUGUUAGUGAUAUGGUGAUUUAGUAGUGUGUGUGACUUGAUGAAAUGAUUGGACAUAGAGGUGAAUAUAUAUUGCCCCAGAGAGUAAAAUAUCCUUUGAAAUAGAAUAAUUAUUCACUUUGGAUGAGGUAGCGAGGAUGAGAUAUUUUAGAACGUGUAUAUAAAAGGAAAAAGACAGAUAUAUUAUUUGAUCUGUGUGUAGACAGAUCCCCUAAGAAUUAGGAUGGUAGAUAGAGGUUUAUAGGUUUAAUCUGACAAUGUCUGAAGUGUAGCUGAUGUUUAUGAGUUGGAAACACUGAAAGGAGAGUAUUUUCCGAGAAUGGAGAUUAAGUGUAUGAGGUGGAGAUUUUGAUUGCCCAUGCAAUCAUUAAUCUGUAGGUGUCAAUUGUGAGAGCUGUUAGCAUGUUGGAGAUUUGAAUGUAAAUGAAGGAGUAAUGAUCUGUGCAAAGUAGGAGGAGACCUGAGUUGAGCAGAAAAGUGGAUGAUUACAUAACAAUUGUUUGCGAGUUAAUCGUUGGUGCCCUGUGAAAAGUGGAAAAUCUGAGUGUUAGUAGUAAAUCCAAUAGUAGAGUGAGUGAUGAUUUGUUGAUAAGGUAAGGUGAGUACAAUGUUCAAGAGAGUGAUUGGUUAGUAGGUGUAAGUUAAUGUAAAGUGAGAAUGACUCUCAAGAGUAUUUAGAGGUGAAUGAACAAAUGUGUGGCUGGAGUGUAUACAUGUAAGAAGCAAUGUCUAGCAACUUGUAAUGUUUGAGACCAGUAAUAAAAUUUGAUCAUGAGAGUUAUAUCAUUGAGUUCCAGGAGUCUUGCAUGAGUCAGGUGAUGAGAGUAAGACUUGUGACUGUUCAAAUUAGGAAGAGAGUAGAAGGUGUUUGGAGAUGCUAUUGCAGAUGCAGACAGAAAAGAAAAGUCUUAUGUUGUAAUGAAAGUUGCAGUAUAUGUAAUUGAUGGCCCUUUCCAUUGAGCUAUUGAUGACGAUUGUUGUUUGAAAUGAGAUGCAACCACUUAAACCAAACAUUAUAGAAAUUAUGUUCAUUUAAGAUGAAUGUCCAGAUGAUGUAGAUACCUGAUGUGAGGUGAAAUUGGGGAUGGAGAUGUGUGUGUGAAGACUUGGCCCUUUCCCAUGCCAUGGACUUAAUUAUUUCACUUAUAUGUAGUGGAGAAUAAUGAUAGUGAGGAAGUAUUUGUGAGUGACGAGAUAAGAAGUUUUAUUGGUACCCCAAUAGGCAAAUGAGUUGCACUGAUGUUGAGGACAGGAAAGAUUGAAAAUGUAGAUGAUGAAGGUGAAACUCGAUGUUGGUAGUGUGAGUGGCUUUCUACAAUGGGCUUGUGUUAGUAUUGAAAGUUGUGGAAGUUAUAAAGAGUCCAAUUGUGGAGAGAUUUUUAGCUAUUGUGAAGUGAAAUGCAGUGAAGACUAGUAAAGAAUGUGACACUUGAGUGACCCUUGGUUAUUGAAAAGAUUAUAAGAAAGGUUUAUAUUGUGUGUGGUUAUUUUGUUAGUUGCUGCUUAGUGUAAAACAAUUUGCCGCUUUAAGAUAUGUUAUGGAGGUCGAAAGGUGUAGGAAGUACAGUCCGUUAAUAUUUAGAGUACAAGAAGAAAUGAUAGAGUGGAGUCAAGUAAUAUGUGUGUGAGAGUGUGGACGAUAUAGUUGCUAUGUGCAUGAUGUGGAGGUUUAAGAAAUUGGAGUAAUGUGGUAAUUAGAAAUGAUGAAGAUAAUUAAGUAGUGAUGUUCUGGUUUUCGAAAGAAUGGAGAAACCAAUGGUGUAUCGUUUAAAACAUGAGUGAGGUGAAAUUAAUGUCAAAUUUGGUAAAGAUGUUAUGAUGCAAGACUGAAAAAUGGUGCAGAGAAAAUAAAAGAGGUUGUGUUAGCGUGGAGGUUAAUGUUUGGAUGAGGAAAUAAAACAGUACCCCAGAGAAAAUGUAGUAAAAUGAAGAAUGAGGUGUGGUAUUGAACAGAUGUGAUGAAAAGUACCCCAGAGAAUAUGUAGAAAUAUAUAGAAUGUGGCGUGGUAGUGAACAGGUGUGAUGAAAUGAAGGCGAAUUGCCAAGAAAUACAGUUUGUUGGUCAUUGUUUUGUGAACGAAUGCUGCCCUUGUAUAUCCUGCUUACAAGAUUUGAUCUUGGACAUUUAGUGAUAUGGUGAUUUAUAAUAAGUGUGACUUGACCAAAAUGUUUUGCCAUAGAGGAGAAUAUGUAUUGUUUGAGAGAGUAAAAUAUCCUUUGAAACUAGUAGUUAGAUGUAUGAAUAGAAGCCGAAUCGAAUAAUUAUUCACUUGGGAUGAGGUACUAAGAUUUAGAUAAUUUAGAACAAGUAUUCAAAGGCAAAAAAGAGACAAAUUUGACAUUUGUGUGAUUGUUCUGAAAAUAUUAUUUGUUACCUAUGUAGAUAGAUCCCCUUAGAAUUAGAAUGGUGAGUAAGGGUUAAUAGGUUUAUUCUCAAAACAUUGUAGCUGAUGUGUAUGAGUUGAAAACAUCAUAAGGAGAGUAUUUUCUGAGGAUGGAGUUUUAAAGUGUACGACGUGGAGAUUGGCACGACCCAUGCUAUUUUUAAUCCUUAGAUGUCUUUAGCUGGUAGCAAUUUGGAGAUUAGAAUGUAAAUGAAGGAGCUGGUGUUUGUGCAAGUUACACACAAUAUAUUGCAAAGUAGGAGCAGACCUGAGUAGAGCAGAAAUGUUGAUGAUACUAUGAUAAUUGUUUGCAAGUUAAUGGUUGGUGCCUUGGGAAAAGAGGGAGGUCUGGCAGAAGGUAGAAUAUCCAAGAGUAGAGUGAGUGAUGAUGUGUUGAUAAAGCAAUGUGAGCACAGUAAUUAAAAGAGAGACAGGUUAGUAGGCAUAGGUUUAAUUAAACUAAGAAUGACUCCCAAGAAUAUUUAGAGGUGAAUGAAAAGGGACGUGUAUGGAGUGUAUACAUGUGAGAAACAAUGACUAGCAAGUUGUAAUGUUUGAGACCUGUUGUAAAAUGUAAUCAUGAGAGUUACAUUAUUGAGUUAUAGAUGCAUUGUAUAAUAAUAAUAAUAAUAUUUAUUCAACAUCGAAUAAUCAAAUACAAUCCCUAGAAAUAAUACAGUUUCAGGGAAUCAUACAGAUUAUUCUUCUGAAUACGUCAGUUUAUAAAUUACAAACUAAAGAUUUGUUUGUAUUAGUAAUUUUUAUAUUUUGAUGGAUUUUACAUUUGGUAGUAUACAAUCACAAUAUUACAAAUAUUGUUUUUAUCAACAUUAUAUAAGUUGUAGGUUACUUAAAACUAUGAGCUUGACAUACUUAUGUAGCACUUUUCAUACAGAUAUAAUACUCGUAUAGGGAAUAAAAAGGGUUUUCAAUUAGAAUUCUUUUUAGCUGAUCUUUUAAUUUGUUAGCAGGAAGGAUUGUGAGACUUUUUGGUAGGGCACUGGCUAGCUUCAGCCCAGCAUGAAGUGUAUUUUUUUCAUAUGAAGCUGUUCUGUGGUUAUUUACACGGUAUCUGAACUUUUGCCUUGUAUCGUACUGGUGCAGGUCACAGUUGAAAUUUGGAUUUAUUGUUUUCACAAGCAAUAUAACUUUCAAUAUGUAUACACCUAUAAUGGUAAGCACACCUGUUUUUGGGAACAGAUUCCGACAUGAUUCUUGAGGUUUGGCACCACAAAUAAUUCUGAUAACUUUUUUCUGUAGUAUUAAUAAUGUACUUAGGUUGGCUUGAGUUGUUGCACCCCAUAUUUCUACAUCAUUGUUUAAGUUUGAUGAGAAUAGGCAUGAUAAGCAGUUUUUUGUACACACAUGUCCUUACAAUAUUUGCUAAUCAUAUUUAUAACAAACACAUACUUCGACAGCUUACAUGCUAAGGAAUCAAUAUGCAUGUCGCAUUUGAGGCUGUCCUGGAUUGUAAUUCCCAAGAACUUUGUCCAUUUUUCCUUUUUUACAAUGUCAUUUCCUAUGGAUAAUUUCAUGUGUAAUACUAUUUGUUUCCUUGUGUGAAAUUCCAUCAUUGCAGUCUUUGAAGCACUUACAUUUAGAUGACUUUCAUUAAAAUACUUCACUAUUUCCUUAGUUACACUGUUGCACAGUACCUGCAGACUCUCAUAGUCUUUGUGUUUACACACUAUUGAUGUCUCAUCUGCAUACAAUAUUUUUGUACAGUUAGGAGAGCAAUACUGUAUAUCAUUAACAUAAAUCAAGAAAAGAAGGGGUCCCGAGACAGAACCUUGAGGCACUCCAUAUUUGAUAUCAGUAAUUUUAGAUUUGUAAGACCCACUGUUUGUUUUAAGCAAGACAAAUUGUUUUCUAUUGCUCAUAUACUUUUUUAUUAGCUCAUAGCCAGUUCCUCUGAUACCCAGGUUCCACAGCUUGUGAAGUAAUAUGGUGAUGUUGAUACAAUCAAAAGCUUUUUCUAGAUCAAGGAACACUCCAGUUACAUACUCCUUGUUCUCUAUGGCCAUUAUUAUUUUGUCUAUUAAUUGUGCUGCUGCUACUGAUGUUGACUUGUUUUUCAUAAAGCAAUUCUGAUUUUCAGAUAUUAAAUUGUGUUGACUAGGAAUGUCAUUAGUCUAGUAUAAAUAACUUUCUCAAGUACCUUAGAAAAUGCAGGUAAGAUUGAGAUGGGGAAGUAGUUUUCAAUUUUAGAUUUGUCACCUUUCUUGUAAAUUGGGGUUACUUGUGCUGCAUUUAGACUAUCUGGGAAACAAACUGAUGCAAUUACAUCAUUUAUUGCUGUGGCCAUGGCAUCAGAUAUGUUGUCUAUGCAUCUUUUCAGUGUACUGACAGGCAAUCCAUCAUAGCUUGCUGAUUUUGUAUUUUUUAAUGACAUUACUAUGUUUUUGACUUCCUUGUUCCUCGUUGGGGCCAAGUAUAUGCUUUGUUUGAUUGGAAUGCCCCUAUAUCUAUGCUGAAGAUUCUGAAAAUGGUCACUGACAGAUUUUCCAACAGAAGAAAAGUACUCAUUAAAAUCAUUUGCAAUCUGACAUUGACAUUUCAUGAUAUGCCCUUUAUGGUUUAUAGUAAAAUCACUUGUUGAUCUGUCCUUACAGUCCCUAAAGCUAUUUAUUACUUUCCAAACAGCUAAACCUGUGUUAGUAGAGUUUCUUAACAUUGUGGCUAGAUAUUUAUUUUUAGUUUCUAGCAGAAGAUAUCUUUAUAGUAAUCCUGAUAGUUCUUAAAUUCUACUUUUAGUCUAUUAUUAUUGUUAUUAUUUAUCAUUGCAUAUUGGAAAAGUCUAAGUUUCUCUCU